RNAcentral lists this long non-coding RNA (1389 nucleotides) under Equus caballus (horse). RNAcentral describes it as "lncRNA (ENSECAG00000048170.1)". Lineage: Eukaryota; Metazoa; Chordata; Mammalia; Perissodactyla; Equidae. The record is from RNAcentral.
CCCCCAUCCCAGAGCCUCACCCUGUCCCGUCUCCUGUCCCCAUUCCCAGACCAGUCCCAGCUGGAGGAGCUGGUUCGUGAGCAGCCUAAGUCCCAUUCUCCGCCUCCGUCAUGAUACUCAAGCCGACCCCCGGGCCCUAGGAAGUAGGCGUCUUUAUGGCCGUUUACGGAUGAGAAGACCAAGGCUCGUGGUGACUGAACAACUCCUCGGAGCCCCAGAUUCCGCAAGUGGCAGAAGCUGGAUCCUGUCCCAGGUCUGCGUGACAAUCAGAGCAUCCCCCACACGGGAUGACGAGGCAUCUGGCGGGAGACAGGCCAGCGUGCAAGGCAGCAUUUCUCUCCCCCGUGGGUGUAGGCCAGCUGGGGAAGAUUAUUUGCUCACCUGGACCAGUUGGUAUCAGCAAAGACAAAUGUGAGUGUUGAGGGCAAACAACAGAAACUCAACUCCGGCUGCCCAGAAACUCAGAAUCAACAGGAAGGUGGGGAACAAGGCUCAGGAAGUGGUCCGGAGCCGAGAAAGGCCACCAGUCCUCUGGGCAGAGUCCACCCCGGGGGCUGGGCCCUGGACUGCUGCUGCCGCUGGCGCACGCUGCCAUGGCGAAGGGAGUCCGACUCUUCCUGUGCGUGACGUCACCACUUGAGAUUCUGAGUCCUGGAUGGGAGGGUCCCUUUGGCCAAGCCUGGGUCCCUUUGCUCAGGGCUCUGUCCCCAGCUGUAUGAUGACAAGACUGGAUGCAUCAGCCUCUUUACACCACCUCAGACCCUCUGGACCUCAGCUGCCUCCUGCUCCAGCCACCUCUGUGCCUCCGCAAGGACAGGCUCUGUGCUCCUGGAACGAGCACCCCUCGCCUGGGGGCUGCGCGGUCGCCACCUGAGAGAGCGGGGGCAGGAGCGGGUAUCGAGCUUCCUUUCUCCCCCAGGAUGAGCUUGUGCAGCUUCUCAGAGCUCGGGCCCAGGAGGCUGCUGCCAACUGGAUCCGAGCAUCAGCCCUCUGUGGCUCCCUGCUCUCUCCCCCGAUCGCCCCCUCUCCCUGGGCUCACGCUCCCUAACCAGGGUCUCAGACAGAGUCCGGAAGCCGCAGGCUCUGCUCCAGUGACCUGGUCAAGUCAGUGGGUUUAAGAGCCUCUCAGGCCUCUGUUCUGUGAAGGAUGUUCUCUUAAGAAAAAAUGCCAAGACCUGGAUCAUCUCACACCUGGUUUGCAUCUCUGCUUCUUCUCCUCACUGGGUAACUGACUCUCAUUGACCCUUCGUUUCUUCCUCUAUUAAAUGGGGCUGAACCCUUGCAGAAUUGUUCCAAGAGUGAAAUGAAACAAUGCAUCUAAUGCACCCUGCACAAGACCUGGUAUCCAGUAGCUGCUCAAUAAUUUAAAAACAAACACACAAAGACAAG